Acromyrmex echinatior (Panamanian leafcutter ant) is the source of this 804-nucleotide long non-coding RNA. NCBI's taxonomy places the organism in Eukaryota, Metazoa, Arthropoda, Insecta, Hymenoptera, Formicidae. The record is from RefSeq and is a predicted model, not a curated record.
GGCCGUCCAUCGCUCAUUCUCGAGGAGAAAAAUCUUCACAUAGUUCCUCAUCCGAGAUGUUCUCGAAAGAGAACCUAACCGGAUGACACAGGAAAGACACAGGAGUCAGUCUCCUGAUUGUGCAGGAUUCGAUGAGUCUGCGUCCCUCCUAUAAGGAACGACAGCGGACCGCCUACCUGCUUAAAAACUCUCCCUAUUCAGCACCUCCGUAAGAUCACAUUGAGCACAUCUCGGAACCGCCUACCCGACAGCAUUUCAUCAGGGUACACCCAAGUGGAAUAUACGUUCCCACCUCCAUGAUCCGAUCCCAAACAGGCCCGAGCUAAAGGAGCCCUUUGUCUCUUCAGAGCCUGACGCUCCCACUCGGCUCGCAUUCUUGCGCAUGACGGCCUCGCAGAAAUCCGCGAGGGCCGUCCAACACAUAGCUGCCCUGACAAUGGAGCCAUAUGUCCUGUCAAGGACAUCGAGCAACCGCUAAAAAGUGACGUCCUCUCUGCGACCCAAGAUGGGCAAAACAGUGCAUCGUCAUAUCCACAGUCGCAUGACAACGCGUAUUAAUCGGCGACGCGUUACGCUAUAUAUCAAAAAGAUAGGCCUCAAGCACCCAUGAUCCAUUAAUCUGGGUCAUGCGAAUUGUAUAAAUACACUAAAAAUAAAGAAUGAGCCCCACUCUCGUGAGAACGCAACCACAUUUUCUUUAUCUCUUCGAUUUUAACAUGAUCUUUGAUAUAGAGAUUCAUUUCUUAAUAAUACUUUGAAAUAUCAUGAAGUUUUUUGACUAUGAUUUUUGUUAUUCAUAGUAAU